Molecule: ribosomal RNA, 53 nt
Filed under: Tintinnopsis lacustris
Lineage: Eukaryota; Ciliophora; Spirotrichea; Tintinnida; Codonellidae
Description: partial 28S ribosomal RNA
Source: RNAcentral
UCAGCAUCUGAAAUGAAGUAGGACCACCCGCUGAACUUAAGCAUAUCAUAAGC